This 253-nucleotide ribosomal RNA is filed under the name uncultured bacterium. RNAcentral's name for it is "partial 16S ribosomal RNA". It matches the Rfam family "Bacterial small subunit ribosomal RNA", at positions 524 to 776 of the family's 1533-position model. The record is from RNAcentral.
UACGGAGGGUGAGAGCGUUACCCGGAUUUACUGGGUGUAAAGCGCACGCAGGCGGAUCGAUAAGUCGGGGGUGAAAGCCCGGGGCUCAACCUCGGAAUUGCCUUCGAUACUGGCGGUCUCGAGUCCGGGAGAGGUGAGUGGAAGUCCUAGUGUAGAGGUGAAAUUCGUAGAUAUUAGGAAGAACACCAGUGGCGAAGGCGGCUCACUGGCCCGGUACUGACGCUCAGGUGCGAAAGCGUGGGGAGCAAACAGG